GAGAGCCGUAUACAUUGAGAAAUGUACGUACGGUUCGGAGGGGGGUUCUCGAAAAACCUACUUUAGCAAUAAAGAAAGGCGUUUGGUUCCCACCCUAC
Molecule: non-coding RNA, 98 nt
Filed under: Cetobacterium ceti
Lineage: Bacteria; Fusobacteriati; Fusobacteriota; Fusobacteriia; Fusobacteriales; Fusobacteriaceae
Source: RNAcentral